CAGUUGAUGAUGAAAGAAGGAAGAAAAUUGUGGAGUUGGGUGGGGCUCAAGAGUUGGUAAACAUGUUGGAGGAUGCCAAAGAAGACAGCACUCGCAUAUCAGCUCUAAAGGCCCUUGCUGCACUUUCACACUCAGAUGAGGCUGUGGGAGCAUUGCACCAUGCUGGGGCUUUUUCAGUAAUUAAGUCUACCCCAGAUUCGUUGGAGGAAUCGGAAAUAAAAAAUUGCCAAAAAUCUCUCUUUGUGAGAUAGAGAUCAUCCUUACAUGCUAACAUGACUUCUUGAUCUAAUUGU
RNAcentral lists this unclassified non-coding RNA (293 nucleotides) under Hevea brasiliensis (rubber tree). Lineage: Eukaryota; Viridiplantae; Streptophyta; Magnoliopsida; Malpighiales; Euphorbiaceae. The record is from RNAcentral.